Molecule: small RNA, 624 nt
Filed under: Malus domestica (apple)
Lineage: Eukaryota; Viridiplantae; Streptophyta; Magnoliopsida; Rosales; Rosaceae
Description: sRNA MD14G0031200
Source: RNAcentral
GUUGGGCUAAACAGGAUGUGUAUCAUUCAUUGUUCCCCAAAGAAGUGAUGGCCAACGUCUCAAAUCUUGUGGGAGAUGAGGAUGUAGUUUCUCUCAAAACCAAGCACGUCCCAUAUAGCAGGUGAACAACAAUCCUCAUAUUCUGAUAGGAAAGGCACAUGCUUAUACCUCAUCGAUAGGUUCUGCUACGGUGUAAGUUCAUCAUUUCGUUCAAGAAAUCUUCGUUGUAGUUUGCCAUAUUUGUUCAAGAGAUCCUUACUUCAGCUUUCCUUUAUCUAAGUAGAAUUAUAACCAAAAUACUCGUCUUCUAAACUCUAAAAAAUUGAAAUCGAACGAACAAAAAAUUCAUAAAUUGAGUCAUACCUUGGUUGGAGGAUUCAAAACUUCAAAAUCACCAUCCAUCAAUAGAAAAACUUAUUUUUCUCUAUGAGAGCUAUUAGGGUUUUAGUAAGAAUGAACGUAGGAUAAACAAAGAAUGAUCGUAGGAUUUAAUUAUAGUGUUUGGGUUUAUUGAUAAAUUUGAAUUUUAUUAUUAAUUUCAUUUUGUACUUAAUAGUAAUUAUGCAAUAGGGUAAAAUAGACAAUUAACAUUCAAAAUUUUAAGUUUGGUGUAAAAAGAGGUUG